AGAGUUUGAUCCUGGCUCAGGAUGAACGCUGGCGGCGUGCCUAAUACAUGCAAGUCGAGCGAACGGACGAGAAGCUUGCUUCUCUGAUGUUAGCGGCGGACGGGUGAGUAACACGUGGAUAACCUACCUAUAAGACUGGGAUAACUUCGGGAAACCGGAGCUAAUACCGGAUAAUAUUUUGAACCGCAUGGUUCAAAAGUGAAAGACGGUCUUGCUGUCACUUAUAGAUGGAUCCGCGCUGCAUUAGCUAGUUGGUAAGGUAACGGCUUACCAAGGCAACGAUGCAUAGCCGACCUGAGAGGGUGAUCGGCCACACUGGAACUGAGACACGGUCCAGACUCCUACGGGAGGCAGCAGUAGGGAAUCUUCCGCAAUGGGCGAAAGCCUGACGGAGCAACGCCGCGUGAGUGAUGAAGGUCUUCGGAUCGUAAAACUCUGUUAUUAGGGAAGAACAUAUGUGUAAGUAACUGUGCACAUCUUGACGGUACCUAAUCAGAAAGCCACGGCUAACUACGUGCCAGCAGCCGCGGUAAUACGUAGGUGGCAAGCGUUAUCCGGAAUUAUUGGGCGUAAAGCGCGCGUAGGCGGUUUUUUAAGUCUGAUGUGAAAGCCCACGGCUCAACCGUGGAGGGUCAUUGGAAACUGGAAAACUUGAGUGCAGAAGAGGAAAGUGGAAUUCCAUGUGUAGCGGUGAAAUGCGCAGAGAUAUGGAGGAACACCAGUGGCGAAGGCGACUUUCUGGUCUGUAACUGACGCUGAUGUGCGAAAGCGUGGGGAUCAAACAGGAUUAGAUACCCUGGUAGUCCACGCCGUAAACGAUGAGUGCUAAGUGUUAGGGGGUUUCCGCCCCUUAGUGCUGCAGCUAACGCAUUAAGCACUCCGCCUGGGGAGUACGACCGCAAGGUUGAAACUCAAAGGAAUUGACGGGGACCCGCACAAGCGGUGGAGCAUGUGGUUUAAUUCGAAGCAACGCGAAGAACCUUACCAAAUCUUGACAUCCUUUGACAACUCUAGAGAUAGAGCNNNNNNNNNNNNNNNNNNNNNNNNNUUCCCCUUCGGGGGACAAAGUGACAGGUGGUGCAUGGUUGUCGUCAGCUCGUGUCGUGAGAUGUUGGGUUAAGUCCCGCAACGAGCGCAACCCUUAAGCUUAGUUGCCAUCAUUAAGUUGGGCACUCUAAGUUGACUGCCGGUGACAAACCGGAGGAAGGUGGGGAUGACGUCAAAUCAUCAUGCCCCUUAUGAUUUGGGCUACACACGUGCUACAAUGGACAAUACAAAGGGCAGCGAAACCGCGAGGUCAAGCAAAUCCCAUAAAGUUGUUCUCAGUUCGGAUUGUAGUCUGCAACUCGACUACAUGAAGCUGGAAUCGCUAGUAAUCGUAGAUCAGCAUGCUACGGUGAAUACGUUCCCGGGUCUUGUACACACCGCCCGUCACACCACGAGAGUUUGUAACACCCGAAGCCGGUGGAGUAACCUUUUAGGAGCUAGCCGUCGAAGGUGGGACAAAUGAUUGGGGUGAAGUCGUAACAAGGUAGCCGUAUCGGAAGGUGCGGCUGGAUCACCU
RNAcentral lists this ribosomal RNA (1564 nucleotides) under Staphylococcus aureus. RNAcentral describes it as "bacterial SSU rRNA". It matches the Rfam family "Bacterial small subunit ribosomal RNA". The record is from RNAcentral. Lineage: Bacteria; Bacillati; Bacillota; Bacilli; Caryophanales; Staphylococcaceae.